GACGAACGCUGGCGGCGUGCUUAACACAUGCAAGUCGAACGGAAAGGCCCUGCUUUUGUGGGGUGCUCGAGUGGCGAACGGGUGAGUAACACGUGAGUAACCUGCCCUUGACUUUGGGAUAACUUCAGGAAACUGGGGCUAAUACCGGAUAGGAGCUCCUGCUGCAUGGUGGGGGUUGGAAAGUUUCGGCGGUUGGGGAUGGACUCGCGGCUUAUCAGCUUGUUGGUGGGGUAGUGGCUUACCAAGGCUUUGACGGGUAGCCGGCCUGAGAGGGUGACCGGCCACAUUGGGACUGAGAUACGGCCCAGACUCCUACGGGAGGCAGCAGUGGGGAAUAUUGAACAAUGGGCGGAAGCCUGAUGCAGCAACGCCGCGGGCGGGAUGACGGCCUUCGGGUUGUAAACCGCGUUCGCCUGUGACGAAGCGUGAGUGACGGUAAUGGGUAAAGAAGCACCGGCUAACUACGUGC
This 469-nucleotide ribosomal RNA is filed under the name uncultured bacterium. RNAcentral describes it as "partial 16S ribosomal RNA". It matches the Rfam family "Bacterial small subunit ribosomal RNA", at positions 28 to 508 of the family's 1533-position model. The record is from RNAcentral.